AAACCAACCGGGAUUGCCUCAGUAACGGCGAGUGAAGCGGCAUCAGCUCAAAUUUGAAAGCCCUCGGGCGUUGUAAUUUGCAGGGGAAGUGCUUGGGGCGGGUGCUGUCUACGUUCCUUGGAACAGGACGCCGCAGAGGGUGAGAGCCCCGUGCGAUGGCACCUCUAACCGCAUAAGCCUUCUCCGACGAGUCGAGUUGUUUGGGAAUGCAGCUCAAAGUGGGUGGUAAAUUCCAUCUAAAGCUAAAUACUGGCGAGAGACCGAUAGCGAACAAGUACAGUGAUGGAAAGAUGAAAAGCACUUUGAAAAGAGAGUGAAACAGCACGUGAAAUUGUUGAAAGGGAAGGGUAUGCGAUUAGCGGCCAGCAGGAGGUGGUCUCUCGUGAAAAGGCCGGGCACCGUCCUCGGACACUGUGCGCGGAGAUGGCGAGGGGCCGCCUGAGGUCUGCGACUCUAGGUUGCUGGCGUAAUGAUUGCAUACCAC
Molecule: ribosomal RNA, 484 nt
Filed under: [Candida] sp. XH1164
Lineage: Eukaryota; Fungi; Ascomycota; Saccharomycetes; Saccharomycetales
Description: eukaryotic LSU rRNA
Rfam family: Eukaryotic large subunit ribosomal RNA
Source: RNAcentral